Vombatus ursinus (common wombat) is the source of this 299-nucleotide unclassified non-coding RNA. It matches the Rfam family "Metazoan signal recognition particle RNA". From Rfam's summary of the family: The signal recognition particle (SRP) is a universally conserved ribonucleoprotein. It is involved in the co-translational targeting of proteins to membranes. The record is from Ensembl. Lineage: Eukaryota; Metazoa; Chordata; Mammalia; Diprotodontia; Vombatidae.
GGAGAUAGUGCACAGUAGUAAUUCCUAUGGCAGACAACCUGAGGCCAUUGGAUUUCUGUAGCUCAGGAGUUCUGAGUUGCAGUGGGCUAAGCUGAUGAUUGGAUAUCCAUACUAAGUUCAGCACCAAUAUAGUGAGCUCCCAGAAUCAAGGGAUCACCAGAUUGACUAAGGAGGAGCAAACUGGCCCAGGUCAGAAAUGGAGCAGGUCAAAAUUUCCAUACUAAUCAAAGUGGGAUUAUAGCAUAUCAGAGUAAUCUCUGCAUUUCCAGCGUGUGUGAGAAAAGGAGACCUAGUCUUAA